This is a non-coding RNA of Pelobates cultripes (western spadefoot toad), 299 nucleotides long. NCBI's taxonomy places the organism in Eukaryota, Metazoa, Chordata, Amphibia, Anura, Pelobatidae. The record is from the annotation of a GenBank genome assembly.
AAAGAUAAUUGAUUCAUAACACUCUCCCACAGCUCUGAGGUUGAAAAGUUGUCACAUCCCAUAAUUUCCGUUAUCUCCUUGUUUCUUCCUUUCUGUUAACAAUAGACUGUAUAUUUCACAAUAAGAAUGAACUCGCCUGAUGUGAAAACGGGUGCGUCACGUGCUGUUUGCUUACAAGUUCUUUCGUGUCUGCUCGAUGACAGCCCUGAAGACAUCUAAUCUUUCUGAAGCUAUUUUCUUCUUACAGACAAUUAUAUAAACCGACAGACUCAUUACUCUAAGAAGCUGGGUUUCCUUUG